RNAcentral lists this long non-coding RNA (369 nucleotides) under Solanum tuberosum (potato). Its description in RNAcentral is "long non-coding RNA (STUB_LNC007470)". Lineage: Eukaryota; Viridiplantae; Streptophyta; Magnoliopsida; Solanales; Solanaceae. The record is from RNAcentral.
UCUCCCAUUGAUUUGAGCGCUUCAAAGUUCAAGUGCCCAAAUCUCAUAUGCCAACACCAUGAGUCAUUUUGCACAUUAGACUUCUCACACUUUGCAUCGAUGGUUUUAAGAUUCAAAGGGAACAACCUAUUCUUUGCCAUAUGCACUUUAGCAAUUAAGUUGUUGCUUGAAUCGCUAAGCCAAAGAUGCAUAUUUUUCAUAUGAAUAUCAUAUCCUUUUUCAAGAAGUUUGACCCAAACUCAAAAUAUUACUUUUCAAUUUUGGCACAUAAUAAACAUUGUUAAUCAAUUUAUGGCCACCAUCUUUACAAGAUAUCAAAAUCGUACCUAUCCCUUUAAUUUAGAUCUUUGAGGUAUCUCCAAAAGAUAC